GACGAACCGUGCGAACGUUAUUCGGAAUCAUUGGGCUUAAAGGGCGCGUAGGCGGGUCGACACGUCGGACCUGAAAUCUCCCGGCUCAACCGGGGAACGGGCUCCGAUACGGUUGGCCUCGAGGUGAGAAGGGGGACCUGGAACGUCCGGUGGAGCGGUGAAAUGCGUUGAGAUCGGACGGAACGCCGACGGCGAAAGCAAGGUCCUGGGCUCAUAUCUGACGCUGAGGCGCGAAAGCCAGGGGAGCGAACGGG
Molecule: ribosomal RNA, 254 nt
Filed under: uncultured bacterium
Lineage: Bacteria
Description: partial 16S ribosomal RNA
Rfam family: Bacterial small subunit ribosomal RNA
Source: RNAcentral